UCUCACCACACCAAAGAUGGCUGCUUCUCACUGCAGGAAACCUUGACUGUCAGAAAUUUAGAUCUUAAUUUGAAGUCUGUGGUUGGUGGAAAUAUCAGACUGCUUUCAUGCUUAUGGUGUUUUUUGUUUGGAAGAAAUUGCACAUUAAAAUUUGAUGAUCCAAUAGUUUUAGUUUUUGUGGAAAAUGCACAGAAGUUCCUUCCAGCUGUUGCAUGAAAAACCUUUAAGAAGAGCUGAAGAAAUGAUAACUGCUGUGGUGAAAAAUGUGUGACAAGUUGCAUCAUUUGGGGAGGUAACCUGAAAAAAACUGUAACCUGCUGCAGGUUUACUUUGAAAACAUCCAGAUGUGAGACUUCUGAUUUGAACAACUGCGACGCUGCGACAUUUGAAUUUCUCCAAAGGCGAAACGAUUAUAUCAAAAGAAGAAAUGUUCUUUCCAUCAGACUAUUUUGAGAUAAUCGUAUGGAUCAACAUCCAUCUCUGCUUUCCUCUCACCUUUCUGGUAAUUCCUCUGUGUUUUAUGGUCCGACUGGAUCACAUUCCUGUCUCCUACUACAUAAACCUCCUCAUAUCCAAUGUGAUCCUGAUCAUCACUCUGAUAUCUGAUAGUGCAUUUAGUCCUAAAUACGAUUAUAAGACCUUCGUACGUCACUGGCCACCCUACUUGUGCUUUGGGGUGGCCAGCGCUUGCUUCAAGAUGAUUUUUGCAGUAGAAAGGUUUCUUUUCCUCUACAGGCCACAGUUUCACUUCAUAAGAAAGACAAAAGGCUUUAUAACAUUCUGUGUUUUGGCCUGGAUUAUUUGUAUUGUUCUUUUUGCUAUUUUAAUCUCUUCCCCCUAUUAUACAAGAAUAAUAUCUGUUGUCUUCACUGCCAGCAUGUUCAUCAUCUGUCUAGCUUUAACUCUCAAAUCUCUCUGUCGCCACCUCAGAAUCGGCUGAAGAAAAGUACAGAGUUGUUGGAGCAUUAGUUCUGUUGCUGGUUAAUUACAUUUUUUUAAUUCUCCCCAUGAUUGAUUUUUCAAUCAUUCCAGAUUUCCGUGAUUUCAACAUGAAGCUAUUUUUUACCUUGAGUCUGCACUGCCCUGUAAUAGAUUUUCUUUUGCUGGGUUUUAUGUCCAAAGGGCCUUUUAUCAGGCUGCUGAUGCGUCUCUGCUGCUGCAGGAAGAGGAAUCCUGCAGAGAACGACAGCAGCAGAUCAGCUGUUGGAUUAUAGUACAGAUUAUAGCUGGGCUCAGAGACAGAGACUAAGGACACAGGAAGGACGGUGUGAGAUUAGAGAGAAAACCACUUUCCAGCGCAGAAGUGGUUUGUUACAAAGUUUGUUACAAACUCCGGGUUUUAAGCUGCUUUCACACCUCGACUGGUUCUCUCCAUUUCUAUUAAAGAACUUCAUCUCAACUGAACAUCACAGAACAAGAAAUGGAUUCUUCAGAUUUUGUUUACGUGAUGAUUUGGAUCAACAUCCGUGUCUGCAUCCCAUUCACCUUGAUAGUUUUUGCUCUGGGUUGUGUAGUCAGAUUGGAUGGUUUUUCUGUCACCUUCUACAUGAACCUUCUCGUCUCCAACCUGAUCCAACUCGGUGGUUUGGUUAUUUUAAUGGUGAAGAUGAAUGAAAAUAAUUUCCGUAUCAUCUGCUACGUUGUCAUCGGCUGUGGCGCUUUGGCCAGUCUUUGUUUCAGGACAGUCAUUGCUCUGGAAAGGUGCCUUUACAUAUCCAAGCCACAGUGUCAUUUCAUGAGACAGUGGAAAGGUUUAGUGACUGUCAGUGUUUGCGGAUGGAUUUUUUCUGGUGUCAUCGUCUUUCUUUUAUUCGCUUUUUAUCCCAAUUUGCUCCAGAUCUAUCUUUUGCUCCUUGCUACCCUGGUAACCAUCAUCCUUCUUGCUGUGACUCUUAAGUCACUGUGUAAAGCUUCCUCGAUGCCCGUCAAAGAAAAAUGCAGAAACAUAGGAAUGUUAGUUCUGUUGCUGGUUAAUCACAUAGUGACUAUUUUACCAACAGUUGCUUAUCUUUUUUAUUUACGCUUAUAUUUCUAUCCGAAUAAAUAUGAAUAUUUCAGGCAAAUGGAGCCAUCAUUGUUCACAAAUAUCAUUUUCACUUUGAGUCUCCACGGUCCUGUCAUGGACUUGAUUCUGUUUGCUUUCAUGUCCAAAGGGCCUUUCAUUAAGCUCCUGAUGCGUCUCUGCUGCUGCAGGAAGGAAGCAGCUGCAGCAAAUGACAUCAGCAGCUCAUCAGUUUGACUAAAUCAAGUAGGGAAGAGAAACAAAAAACAAAAACAAAUAUAUGACAAAUAGGCCUUUAUUUCAGGUUAAAGAAACAUUGAUCCUAAAAAUUCAAAGGUUGAAUUGCAGUUUCUGGAACCAGAACUAUAUGUGUAUAUUUACUUCCAUAAAAAUGUUUUGGUUUUAUUGGCAGCCAAAUGAUUUAUAUUAAAUAUUUCAAUUAUUUGUUUUUGCUUCUUAUAAAUGUUUGGUUCUGAGUUUUUCUUGUUGUGUUUCAGAGGCUGCUGCCUCACUGAGGCACUUUGUGAACUUAUUGCUAAAAACACAGAUGAGUAAUUCUGUGUUGUUUUUUUUUUUAAACAUUUACACUGUACACAUCAUAUUGUGAUUUAAAAGAAAAAAAAUGCUUUGUUUCUUUUAGCAUCGGUGCAGAAAUAUCUUCUAAAGUUUCUGAAAUUGUAACGAUUAGCUGAUAAAUUGUAAAUAUAUUUUUAGUUUUGUUUUAACUAAAAUUACUGUUGUGAAUUAUGAUCUGAUCAGUUUGUUAAGGCAGAAGAAAUUAUUAUUUAGUCAAUGGAACCUAAAUCUAUUUUAAGCUUUGACAAUAGCUUAAAACUUUGUUUUUAAGAUGUUUUAGUUUUGUUUUAUUUGCGCUAAACAAAAUGCUGCAAAUUAGCUUAGCUAUAAGUACAAUGAUACAUGAUAGAACUGCUUUUUUAUUUGGUUUAUUUAUGUAAAUUUGUGUCUGUUCCUGUCAAAUCAACCUAAUUGUAUUGAGUUGAAAAUCUAAUUGCGUUUGGAAAAAAUUAACAGCAACAUUAAGUUUUUUCAGUCUGUGAUUUAUUUCUUUUUUAAAUUUGAUAAUUUAGUUGUACAUUAAGAGCAGAAAGCAUCUUACAGCUCUACUGAAACUGAAAUGAAAUGUAAAUCAACGAUGUUACAUGUAAGUUAGCUGAAGUUUAUUUUCAUGAAAUACUUUUGAAUUCAUUUUAGCUCUGUAUAAAUAAAGAUCAGUUUCAGCCUGUU
Xiphophorus couchianus (Monterrey platyfish) is the source of this 3247-nucleotide long non-coding RNA. RefSeq lists it as uncharacterized. NCBI's taxonomy places the organism in Eukaryota, Metazoa, Chordata, Actinopteri, Cyprinodontiformes, Poeciliidae. The record is from RefSeq and is a predicted model, not a curated record. The transcript has 8 exons.